Misgurnus anguillicaudatus (oriental weatherfish) is the source of this 795-nucleotide non-coding RNA. Lineage: Eukaryota; Metazoa; Chordata; Actinopteri; Cypriniformes; Cobitidae. The record is from RefSeq and is a predicted model, not a curated record.
AAGACGGUUUAUAUUCACCGGCUGAAUUGCAUCAGCCAGCAGGACUUGUGCAAGGGGUGGAGCCCAAUGACGACGAUUGUAUACAAACAUAGAGCAGGUUACUUUCCAUCAGCUCACAUCCUGGCAGAUGAAUACAGUUCUUCAUUCUGUCCGUCAGAAACUAACAAAACUAAAUGAAUAUCUGUUUUAUCUCAAUUGUUUCUCGUAGACAGUCAGAGCAAACUGAGACCUUAAACAAGUCUCCUGCUUUACACAUUUCCUAAUUAAAGACAGCAAAGUUUUACAAAGGCUGUGUCUCAUCUACAGUUUCACAGAUCUCAACUGUGCUCAGAUUUGCCAAGAUACUGAAAAGUUCUUUACCACCCCCGAACGGCCAAAUCCCCCCGGUGGAGGCGGAGCCGGGCAGAACGGGACCUGGGUUGAUAGUGAUUUACCCCUGGAUUACAAGCCACCGCGUCCUCUGAGCUGAAGUUUGCACCCGGUGCCGCUCCGAGCACAAAGGAACAUGGAUAUGGAAUGUGUGACCUAUUGAAACAGAGCGUGGGGCCCAGGCGACGCCCCGACUCCAUAGGAUUGCGGCCAGAAGAUUGAACAGAGAGGAAACGGAUGCUCGAAAUAUCACUACAGACAGGAAGAACAACACACACGCACACAUGCCAAAGCUUUGUGUCAUACCAUUGUACUGUUACAUCAGAAUGUUGACUGACCUGAACACAGUACUCCUUACUGGAAUUCAUUUCAGUCCAUUCUGCUUGUUUCUGUAGGGGUAUUCUUGUAUGUAGGGAAAACUAAAAC